UGACCUCAAUCAGGAGACCC
This 20-nucleotide ribosomal RNA is filed under the name uncultured Glomus. Its description in RNAcentral is "partial 28S ribosomal RNA". The record is from RNAcentral. Lineage: Eukaryota; Fungi; Glomeromycota; Glomeromycetes; Glomerales; Glomeraceae.